AAGGAAUAUUGGACAAUGGCGGCAACACUGAUCCAGCCAUGCCGCGUGCAGGAUGACGGCCCUAUGGGUUGUAAACUGCUUUUAUUCGGGAAUAAACCUCUGUACGUGUACGGAGCUGAAGGUACCGAAUGAAUAAGCAUCGGCUAACUUCGUGCCAGCAGCCGCGGUAAUACGAAGGAUGCAAGCGUUAUCCGGAUUUAUUGGGUUUAAAGGGUGCGUAGGCGGGUUUGUAAGUCAGAGGUGAAAGCCCAUCGCUCAACGAUGGAACUGCCUUUGAUACUAUAGAUCUUGAGUAUGGUUGACGUUGGCGGAAUGUGCAGUGUAGCGGUGAAAUGCUUAGAUAUUGCACAGAACACCGAUUGCGAAGGCAGCUAACGAAGUCAUUACUGACGCUGAUGCACGAAAGCGUGGGGAGCAAAC
RNAcentral lists this ribosomal RNA (420 nucleotides) under uncultured bacterium. RNAcentral's name for it is "bacterial SSU rRNA". It matches the Rfam family "Bacterial small subunit ribosomal RNA", at positions 356 to 773 of the family's 1533-position model. The record is from RNAcentral.